GAUGAACGCUGGCUACAGGCUUAACACAUGCAAGUCGAGGGGAAACGACGGGGAAGCUUGCUUCCCCGGGCGUCGACCGGCGCACGGGUGAGUAACGCGUAUCCAACCUGCCUCUGACUGAGGGAUAACCCGUCGAAAGUCGGCCUAAUACCUCAUGGCAUCGUCUGCGGGCAUCCAACGACGAUUAAAGAUUUCAUCGGUCAGGGAUGGGGAUGCGUCUGAUUAGCUUGUUGGCGGGGUAACGGCCCACCAAGGCUACGAUCAGUAGGGGUUCUGAGAGGAAGGUCCCCCACAUUGGAACUGAGACACGGUCCAAACUCCUACGGGAGGCAGCAGUGAGGAAUAUUGGUCAAUGGGCGAGAGCCUGAACCAGCCAAGUAGCGUGCAGGAAGACGGCCCUAUGGGUUGUAAACUGCUUUUAUGCGGGGAUAAAGUGAGGGACGUGUCCUUCAUUGCAGGUACCGCAUGAAUAAGGACCGGCUAAUUCCGUGCCAGCAGCCGCGGUAAUACGGAAGGUCCGGGCGUUAUCCGGAUUUAUUGGGUUUAAAGGGAGCGUAGGCCGUGGAUUAAGCGUGUUGUGAAAUGCAGGUGCUCAACGUCUGCACUGCAGCGCGAACUGGUCCACUAGAGUGUGCGCAACGCAGGCGGAAUUCGUCGUGUAGCGGUGAAAUGCUUAGAUAUGACGAAGAACUCCGAUUGCGAAGGCAGCUUGCGGGAGCACAACUGACGCUGAAGCUCGAAAGUGCGGGUAUCGAACAGG
This 760-nucleotide ribosomal RNA is filed under the name uncultured Prevotella sp. Its description in RNAcentral is "bacterial SSU rRNA". It matches the Rfam family "Bacterial small subunit ribosomal RNA", at positions 28 to 776 of the family's 1533-position model. Lineage: Bacteria; Pseudomonadati; Bacteroidota; Bacteroidia; Bacteroidales; Prevotellaceae. The record is from RNAcentral.